GUCUCCACUUCUGGCGUGGAAAGGUGGGUUUAAUUCCCUCACCAAGCGCACCCUUUUUCUUUUUUUGUAACCCGUUAUGGCGGGGACUCUAAGGAGACCGCCGGUGACAAACCGGAGGAAGGUGGGGAUGACGUCAAGUCAUCAUGGCCCUUACGAGCAGGGCUACACACGUGCUACAAUGGUCGGUACAAAAGGUAGCUAACUCGCGAGAUGGAGCAAAUCCCCUAAAGCCGAUCGUAGUCCGGAUUGGAGUCUGCAACUCCACUCCAUGAAGCUGGAAUCGCUAGUAAUCGUGGAUCAGAACGCCGCGGUGAAUACGUUCUCGGGUCUUGUACACACCG
Molecule: ribosomal RNA, 341 nt
Filed under: Pseudomonas sp.
Lineage: Bacteria; Pseudomonadati; Pseudomonadota; Gammaproteobacteria; Pseudomonadales; Pseudomonadaceae
Description: bacterial SSU rRNA
Rfam family: Bacterial small subunit ribosomal RNA
Source: RNAcentral